UAAGUGCUUCCAUGUUUGAGUUG
Molecule: microRNA, 23 nt
Filed under: Monodelphis domestica (gray short-tailed opossum)
Lineage: Eukaryota; Metazoa; Chordata; Mammalia; Didelphimorphia; Didelphidae
Description: Mdo-Mir-430-P4_3p (mature (guide))
Source: RNAcentral